AACUAACUUUGUUCUUGGUAUAAGCUUUUGUGUGCAUGCACACGUCUUCAGAUACACUGAAGAUACGCAGUGUAUCUGAAGAAGUAUGCAUGCACACGAAAGCUUAUACCAAGACUUCUUGAUGGAUU
Non-coding RNA from Podarcis lilfordi (Lilford's wall lizard), 128 nucleotides. The record is from the annotation of a GenBank genome assembly. Lineage: Eukaryota; Metazoa; Chordata; Lepidosauria; Squamata; Lacertidae.